Long non-coding RNA from Grus americana (Whooping crane), 749 nucleotides. RefSeq lists it as uncharacterized. NCBI's taxonomy places the organism in Eukaryota, Metazoa, Chordata, Aves, Gruiformes, Gruidae. The record is from RefSeq and is a predicted model, not a curated record. The transcript has 3 exons.
AUUCUGAAGACAAAUCCUUCCCAGGGAUUUGGGGCAUGCUGGAACAGGUCCUUCUGUGUCAUUGUGGCAGUAAAACAUCAUGGGUUUGCUGGAAGAACCGUCACUAUCAUCAACCACCUCAUCUCUCCCAGCCUUGAGAGCCAAGAGCUUCUCCAACCACAAAACCUGCCAAGAUGACCCAAGACAUCUUCUUUCCCAACCAGACAUAUGAAGGAAGGUGGUUUUGCCCAUCAUCGCCUGCCCCAGGCCCUGGUGGGAUCCCAGCUUCCAACAACCACACAUCAGGCUCAGCAGGUCUCCAUGGAGGCUUCUUCAGUUGUUUAACUACUGUGUCCAUGGAUGGACUAAGAGGCAAGAUCUGCACUGGGCUGCACUGGAAGUAUUCCCUACGUUCCCAGUCCCAGCAAAUAUUACCUGACUUUAAAGCAAGUGCCAUAGGAUGUGAGGAGGAUUUGAGACAGCGCUCGGCCUCACCUUAGGCAGCUGAGGACAUCUACUUACUGGCGCUGGCUGCUGGCACGGGCCACAGCUUCCUCCACCCACACACCUUGGUUUUCUUUGGCCUCACUGUGAGAAAUUCAUUUCAUGUUCUAAAUGCAAAUCCUCUAAAGGGUUUUCAGGAUGCUAAAUAGGACUUCAGAAAGAACAACAAAAAGAAGCAAGUUUUUUGGAUUGGCGUUUGUUGGUUGGUUUUUUUUUUGCUUUGAUUUGAAAAAUAACUGACCUUGAAACAGCUAGUUUUUUUUCCC